CCCCACCCUGCCUCUCUACCAUACUUUCCAAGGAGCCCACAGUGCUUCUUUUGUGUCAGAUUCAAGUUGUUUUGGCUUUUACUACAAAAAGCAUCUUUACAUAUAUCUGCAAUUUAAUGGAUAAUUUAUUUUCCCUUUCCAUACAUCUGAAAGAAGAAACAUAAUUGGUAUGAACAGCACUUAAUUCCAGACUGACUUCUUUUGAACUGUAGAGACUGGAUUUCACCAUGUUGCCCAGGCUGGUCUCAAACUUCUGGCUUCAAACUAUCUGCCUGCCUCAGCCUCCCAAAGUGCUGGGAUUACAGGCGUGAGCACCGUGCCCUGCCUCUCUUCAAGGACUCUCUUUGCUACAUCGGCAUCACCUGGGAACGUGGUAGGGCUACAGAAUCUUGGGCCCCACCUUGGACCUACCUAAUCGUCAUCUUAUUCAUUGGUGUUCCCUUCGCCAGAGACCAGGUCGAUUGUCUUGGAGAAUGUCCCACAUUCAGCAUUUGUCUGCAUGCUUCCUUAUGGUGCCAUGCUCUUGUCCCUCUAUUCCAAGUGAGUGGAAGUUAGCUGGAGAAGUUUGACUAAAUUCAGGAUCAAGUUUUUGUGACAAGAAUAUUUCCUAGCUGGUGCUAUGUGCAUUUGCAUGGCAUCAGGAGGCAGAUGAUAUCUAGUUGGAAACAAGACUUUGGAUUUUACAAGCUAUGCUUUUGUAAGGAAAGGAACACAUUUAAAGCCUUGAGCGUGUAUUUGCAGAACCACGAGAUAACGGCAAAGAAAGUCCUUGGACACAGGCUCUGUGAGCAUCACAUCUCUCCAACUGGACCCGUGGGCGCUGCAGUGAGCAUAUAUGUCCUAAAGGGAUAUGGCACCAACCUUGUGAAUUGUUUGCUUGUGUUUUUCUAACAUUUCUACUACUUAGUUUCAAUUACAUUUUUCCUAGCAUGGAG
This 935-nucleotide long non-coding RNA is filed under the name Homo sapiens (human). RNAcentral's name for it is "HSALNT0403845". The record is from RNAcentral. Lineage: Eukaryota; Metazoa; Chordata; Mammalia; Primates; Hominidae.